CGAAAGUUAGAGGUUCGAAGGCGAUCAGAUACCGCCCUAGUUCUAACCAUAAACGAUGCCAGCCAGCGAUCCGGCUGUGUUCCUCAAAUGACACGCCGGGCAGCUUCCGGGAAACCAAAGCUUUUGGGUUCCGGGGGAAGUAUGGUUGCAAAGCUGAAACUUAAAGGAAUUGACGGAGGGGCACCACCAGACGUGGAUGUUGCGGUUCAAUUUGACUCAACGCAGCAAAUCCUACCAGGCCAGGACACAGGAAGGAUUGACAGAUUGAGAGCUCUUUCUUGAUUCUGUGGGUGGUGGUGCAUGGCCGUUCCUGGUUCGUGGAGCGAUUUGUCUUGUUUAUUCUGAUAACGGACGAGAUUCUAGCCUACUAAAUAGACGCUUCGAUCCUYCGAGUCGAGCGUUCUUCUUAGAGGGACAGGCGGUGUUCAGCCGCACGAGGCAGAGCAAUAACAGGUCUGUAAUGCCCUUAGAUGUCCUGGGCCACACGCGUCCUACAUUGAAGGAAUCAACGUGUGCUUUCCCUGUCCGAAGGGACYGGGUAACCCGUUGAACYUCCUUCGUGCUGGGGAUAGG
This 573-nucleotide ribosomal RNA is filed under the name Bolyphantes sp. LT-2015. Its description in RNAcentral is "SSU rRNA". It matches the Rfam family "Eukaryotic small subunit ribosomal RNA", at positions 995 to 1600 of the family's 1831-position model. Lineage: Eukaryota; Metazoa; Arthropoda; Arachnida; Araneae; Linyphiidae. The record is from RNAcentral.